Molecule: ribosomal RNA, 254 nt
Filed under: uncultured bacterium
Lineage: Bacteria
Description: partial 16S ribosomal RNA
Rfam family: Bacterial small subunit ribosomal RNA
Source: RNAcentral
CAGAGGUCUCAAGCGUUGUUCGGAUUCAUUGGGCGUAAAGGGUGCGUAGGUGGCGAUGUAAGUCUGGUGUGAAAUCUCGGGGCUCAACCUCGAAAUUGCAUUGGAUACUGCGUUGCUUGAGGAUUGUAGAGGAGAGUGGAAUUCACGGUGUAGCAGUGAAAUGCGUAGAUAUCGUGAGGAAGACCAGUUGCGAAGGCGACUCUCUGGGCAAUUCCUGACACUGAGGCACGAAGGCCAGGGGAGCAAACGGGAUU